CCUGAUGGCCGACUUGUUGCUCCGCCUCACGCUGACCUGUGCUCGCCUUAUGGCUGAACUGUUGCUCCGAGUCCGCCUGACGAGCCACCUGUUUCUCCGGAUCUGUUUCUCCGCCUAACGGCGACCUGUUUCUCCGGACCUGUUUCUCCGGACCUGUUUCUCCGCCUAACGGCGACCUGUUUCUCCGGACCUGUUUCUCCGCCUAACGCCCGAGCUGUUGCUCCGCCUAACACCUGACCUGUGCUCGCCUCACGCCCAGCCUGUUGAUCGGUGGACGGGUAAGCGCGCAUGGCAUCGGAAGGAGCUCGAAAAGUAUAAGGUGAUGACAGUAAGUAACGUUACUGUGAUUUGUGAUCUUUCUGGGGUGUUAACUGUAAAGCAAUGGAUAAUUGCGUGAAAAUCAAACUAAAAGAAUGCAAUCUUGAGGAGUUAAUCCCCACAUUUGAAGGAGCGAACUUUUCCUCGUUUUUAGGUCAAUUUGAAUACAAUUCAGAGGGGUGGCAUGGGGGCGCAGUGGGUAGUGCUGUCGCCUCACAGCAAGAUGGUCGCUGGUUUGAGCCUUGGAUGGGUUUCCCCUCCACAGUCCAAUGACAUGCGGUGUAGCUGAAUUGGAUUGGGACCAAUAUUGCUGAGUAUCUUCAUCCAUUGAAUUCAAGAAUCUAUUGAGUUUCCUCAUGUUCUCAUCCUUGGAGACCACCACUUCUUUCAAGCCUUUGCUCACGUGCUGUGC
This 730-nucleotide long non-coding RNA is filed under the name Danio rerio (zebrafish). Its description in RNAcentral is "si:dkey-222f8.6 (ENSDARG00000094457.4)". The record is from RNAcentral. Lineage: Eukaryota; Metazoa; Chordata; Actinopteri; Cypriniformes; Danionidae.